ACAGGAGAGGUUCGCGAACUCCCUCUAUAAAAAACUAAGGAAAA
Molecule: regulatory RNA element, 44 nt
Organism: Paenibacillus sp. Leaf72
Lineage: Bacteria; Bacillati; Bacillota; Bacilli; Caryophanales; Paenibacillaceae
Rfam family: PreQ1 (pre queuosine) riboswitch aptamer
About the family: This family is a bacterial riboswitch that binds to the metabolite preQ1, an intermediate in the biosynthesis of the modified nucleoside queuosine from GTP.
Source: Rfam